AUUGAACGCUGGCGGCAUGCCUUACACAUGUUAGUCGAACGGCAGCACGGAGCUUGCUCUGGUGGCGAGUGGCGAACGGGUGAGUAAUAUAUCGGAACGUACCCUAGAGUGGGGGAUAACGUAGCGAAAGUUACGCUAAUACCGCAUACUAUCUAAGGAUGAAAGUGGGGGAUCGCAAGACCUCAUGCUCGUGGAGCGGCCGAUAUCUGAUUAGCUAGUUGGUAGGGUAAAAGCCUACCAAGGCAUCGAUCAGUAGCUGGUCUGAGAGGACGACCAGCCACACUGGAACUGAGACACGGUCCAGACUCCUACGGGAGGCAGCAGUGGGGAAUUUUGGACAAUGGGCGAAAGCCUGAUCCAGCAAUGCCGCGUGAGUGAAGAAGGCCUUCGGGUUGUAAAGCUCUUUUGUCAGGGAAGAAACGGUGAAAGCUAAUAUCUUUUGCUAAUGACGGUACCUGAAGAAUAAGCACCGGCUAACUACGUGCCAGCAGCCGCGGUAAUACGUAGGGUGCAAGCGUUAAUCGGAAUUACUGGGCGUAAAGCGUGCGCAGGCGGUUUUGUAAGUCUGAUGUGAAAUCCCCGGGCUCAACCUGGGAAUUGCAUUGGAGACUGCAAGGCUAGAAUCUGGCAGAGGGGGGUAGAAUUCCACGUGUAGCAGUGAAAUGCGUAGAUAUGUGGAGGAACACCGAUGGCGAAGGCAGCCCCCUGGGUCAAGAUUGACGCUCAUGCACGAAAGCGUGGGGAGCAAACAGGACUAGAUACCCUGGUAGUCCACGCCCUAAACGAUGUCUACUAGUUGUCGGGUCUUAAUUGACUUGGUAACGCAGCUAACGCGUGAAGUAGACCGCCUGGGGAGUACGGUCGCAAGAUUAAAACUCAAAGGAAUUGACGGGGACCCGCACAAGCGGUGGAUGAUGUGGAUUAAUUCGAUGCAACGCGAAAAACCUUACCUACCCUUGACAUGGCUGGAAUCCUCGAGAGAUUGAGGAGUGCUCGAAAGAGAACCAGUACACAGGUGCUGCAUGGCUGUCGUCAGCUCGUGUCGUGAGAUGUUGGGUUAAGUCCCGCAACGAGCGCAACCCUUGUCAUUAGUUGCUACGAAAGGGCACUCUAAUGAGACUGCCGGUGACAAACCGGAGGAAGGUGGGGAUGACGUCAAGUCCUCAUGGCCCUUAUGGGUAGGGCUUCACACGUCAUACAAUGGUACAUACAGAGCGCCGCCAACCCGCGAGGGGGAGCUAAUCGCAGAAAGUGUAUCGUAGUCCGGAUUGUAGUCUGCAACUCGACUGCAUGAAGUUGGAAUCGCUAGUAAUCGCGGAUCAGCAUGUCGCGGUGAAUACGUUCCCGGGUCU
RNAcentral lists this ribosomal RNA (1352 nucleotides) under uncultured bacterium. RNAcentral describes it as "bacterial SSU rRNA". It matches the Rfam family "Bacterial small subunit ribosomal RNA", at positions 28 to 1381 of the family's 1533-position model. The record is from RNAcentral.